Molecule: RNA transcript, 2159 nt
Organism: Ictalurus punctatus (channel catfish)
Lineage: Eukaryota; Metazoa; Chordata; Actinopteri; Siluriformes; Ictaluridae
Gene: tspan5a
Gene name: tetraspanin 5a
Exons: 11
Source: RefSeq, a predicted model, not a curated record
AAGUGUAAACGGAGCAGUGAGACAACCGUUUAGAUUAACCGCAAAAGUAGGUCGAUGUUUCUUGCGUUUAUUAUCCACAAGAAGCUUUUGACUACCAGCACGUCCUGUGUAUAUACAUUAAAGUCGUUAAUAUUUAGCUGCGUCAAGAAAACAAUACUGAAUGAUGUGUGUGUGUGGAUAGUGACAGUGAGGGGAAGCUUGGUGUCUCUUUCUAGAUAAAAGGCGGCGGUAAUUAAGCUGAACCUGCUGCACUGGUCCUUUCAUUUCAGAGCUAAGUAGCAGGAGAAGGGACUUAAUGUGGACGAGCAUCAAUGAUGACAGGAAAGCAUUACAAUGGACAUGAAGUCAGCUGUUGCAUCAAAUAUUUUAUAUUUGGAUUUAACAUAAUAUUUUGGUUACUGGGGUUGGCCUUCCUGGGGAUUGGACUAUGGGCUUGGAAUGAGAAGGGUGUGCUCUCAAACAUCUCCUCCAUCACUGAUUUGGGUGGGUUUGACCCUGUCUGGCUGUUUCUAGUGGUGGGUGGUGUGAUGUUUAUCCUGGGUUUUGCUGGUUGCAUCGGAGCUCUGAGAGAGAACACCGUCCUCCUCAAAUUUUUUUCUGUGUUCCUGGGGAUUAUAUUCUUCCUGGAACUGACAGCUGGGAUUCUUGCCUUUGUCUUUAAGGACUGGCUCAAAGACCAGCUUCAGUUCUUCAUUAACAACAACAUCAGAGCCUAUAGAGAUGAUAUUGACCUACAAAACCUUAUCGACUUCACUCAGGAAUAUUGGGAAUGCUGUGGGGCUUUUAAAGCCAGUGAUUGGGAUCUCAACAUCUACUUCAACUGCACAGACACCAACCCCAGCCGAGAGAAGUGUGGCGUUCCCUUCUCCUGCUGCACCAAGGACCCAGCGGAGGAUGUCAUCAACACACAAUGCGGAUAUGAUGUCCGAUCUAAAUUGGAAGCUGAACAGAAGACAGUCAUAUAUUUGAAGGGCUGUGUGCCUCAGUUUGAGAAGUGGUUACAUGACAACCUGACAGUAGUAGCAGGCAUCUUUAUAGGAAUUGCACUGCUACAGAUCUUUGGAAUAUGCCUGGCCCAAAAUCUAGUGAGUGAUAUUGAAGCUGUGCGGGUGAGCUGGGUGCCGCCCCCCUCCUUCGCUGCCCACCGCCCCCCGUACAACUCCAGCAAGAAAGCCUCAGUGUACUUGUGAGGGAGGUGCUCACCUGUUUGUUCACCGGAAGAUAAUGUUCCUUCAGACAUUCACAGGACUCGUGAGUAAUGGUGCCAGCAACAGAACCCAAUAUGCACAGUUCACAUGUGUGUACAGAUGUGAUCUACACAAUCAUAUUUUAUUGUGUGAAUACAAAUCUUUCUAAAGUAUUUCACAUGCCGGACACCUGUGUAUUAAAUGUAAAUGUAUGGCUGUGUGAGUGUGUGUCUUGAGAUGUUUCACAAUUAGAAUUCACUACAUCUCUUAUGUUCCAGUUUUUCUUUUUCUUUCCAGUUCACACUGUUUCAUAAAGAGACAUAUACAGACAUUAUUACACUGAGGAAACUAUUUUGGUCCAGUUUGUGGACACUGACUUCUUAUUUCAUUUUCAUCACAUUUGCAUGUUUAACACAUUUAAAUUUUGAUAACCACUUGGUUAUGUCCUAAUAUCUCAAAAGGUAUGUACUUGUUCUUUAUCAAGUGAAAGUCCAUAAUCUUUAGUGAACAACCUCUGACACCAGCAGAACGUACCAUGAAAAUAGUGUCAAGUGAUUUAUAAACAAAAAUCUAAAAGUUCAGAGGUCAUGGCUGUAAUAUAUUAGUAUAUAUUAAUAGUAGAGAAUGGCUCUGAAGGAUUAAGAUAAAUUAAAAAUUUAAUUCAAUACACUUCAAAAAGUAUUCUGUACACACGUUCUAUAAAAGCCAAGUAUUUUUAGAGUGGUUUCAUAAGUGGUUUUCGAUGGGAAAAAAAAUAAUACAAUCUAUUUAAGCAGCCAAAUGGAAUUAAUGAGGGAUGAACAAAAAUCUGUACUGUUAACUGUAAGGAUGUAAAAUGUGUAAGGGAAUGUUUUUCUAACGCAGGCUUAUUGUAAUCAUAUGAACUAAUAUUGGAGGACAGAAUGUGAUAAACUCUUGAUUCUGUGCUAUACUCACCCAUUUUAUGAAAUAAACAAAACCUUUUUCACCUGC